GACGAACGCUGGCGGCGUGCUUAACACAUGCAAGUCGAGCGGAAAGGCCCUUCGGGGUACUCGAGCGGCGAACGGGUGAGUAACACGUGAGUAACCUGCCCUCAGCUUUGGGAUAACCCUCGGAAACGGGGGCUAAUACCGGAUAUGACAUGAGCCUGCAUGGGUUUGUGUGGAAAGUUUUUCGGCUGGGGAGUGGGCUCGCGGCCUAUCAGCUUGUUGGGUGGGGUGAUGGCCUACCAAGGCGACGACGGGUAGCCGCCUGAGAGGGCGACCGGCCACACUGGGACUGAGACACGGCCCAGACUCCUACGGGAGGCAGCAGGUGGGGAAUAUUGCACAAUGGGCGGAAGCCUGAUGCAGCGACGCCGCGUGAGGGAUGACGGCCU
Molecule: ribosomal RNA, 386 nt
Filed under: uncultured bacterium
Lineage: Bacteria
Description: bacterial SSU rRNA
Rfam family: Bacterial small subunit ribosomal RNA
Source: RNAcentral